UUUCAUUGGUUUGACGCGGAUCACCAUCUGCACCGUUAGAUCAUACUGAACCAACGCUUGAGAUUUGUUUCUUCUUUUCCAAUUAUUUUCGCGUGUUCGAGAGAGAGGCGAUUGCGUACUCGACGCCACCCCUAGCAAACCUCUUCCUCGUCGGCCUCGAGUUGAUCUGAAAUCUCUCCGCCGCACCAGCCAAAAGUGAUUUCCAUCGCAGCCGCCAGAAUCGGAGUUGGCCUUCCAGAGGUUCCAACCAAACCAACAACGCAAUCGAUCGGUGGUGGAAGCUUUUGCCUGCUCUUCUUGGCUUGUUGCUUAACACGUUAAACUGUUGUUACCUUUCUCUUUCAGGAAGAAGUUGCUGUUACAAAGAAACCUGCAGCAGCUAAGCAAGCUGUGAAAGAUUCUUCAUCCUCUGAGGAUGAAGAUGAUUCAGAAGAUGAAUCUGAGGAUGACAAACCUGUUGCCAAGAAGGAGGCUCCUGUUGCUGCCAAGGUUGCAAGCUGUUUAGAUUCUGAUGAGGAAAGUGAAGAUGAAAAUCCUGCACCAAAGGCUAAAGAAGAUACCAAGAGUGCUAAAAAGGAUAGUAGUAGAGAUGAAUCCCGUUCUGGUGAAUCAGAGAAUGAAGACGAGGACGAAACCCCAAAUAAAAAGGUUCGAGCACUGCUUACUGCCUAUUGCAUAUUGUUGCUUUUACUUGUUGGAAAGUUACUCCCUUUUAUGAAAACAGAGCUCUGAUGUCGAAAUGGUGGAUGCCGAGAUGAAACAGGUUGGUCAUAAUUCAAUGGUUUAUCUACUACAGCACACAUCGAUAUUCUUACAGUUUCUAGGAAAGCAACACCAGCAAGUGUGGACAUCUCAGAUGAUGUAAGAGAACAUAGACGUAAGUCCGAGAUGGCAGAGAAAGUUAGAGGUGGUGGUGUAGGUGAAGCCAAACAAGAAGAAGAAGAACAUAAGAAAGUGACAGAAAGAAGGAGACGACAGAACUGCGAUCAGAGGGAGACAGCAGUUUAGAACUUUAGGUUUUGGUUUAUUAGGUUUGGUUUAAUUUUUUCUGGUUUAUUUAGGUUUUGGUUUUUUUUUGGUUAAUGUAUAAACUGAUUUUAUUUGUAAACACAGUUUAAAUAAUAAAUUCAAUUAAAUA
Raphanus sativus (radish) is the source of this 1138-nucleotide long non-coding RNA. RefSeq lists it as uncharacterized. The record is from RefSeq and is a predicted model, not a curated record. NCBI's taxonomy places the organism in Eukaryota, Viridiplantae, Streptophyta, Magnoliopsida, Brassicales, Brassicaceae. The transcript has 3 exons.